This 74-nucleotide transfer RNA is filed under the name Bos taurus (domestic cattle). It matches the Rfam family "tRNA". Rfam says of the family: Transfer RNA (tRNA) molecules are approximately 80 nucleotides in length. Their secondary structure includes four short double-helical elements and three loops (D, anti-codon, and T loops). The record is from Rfam by way of RNAcentral. Lineage: Eukaryota; Metazoa; Chordata; Mammalia; Artiodactyla; Bovidae. RNAcentral also lists the same sequence under 3 other names.
UUCCUGGUAGUCCAGUAGUUAAGACUCCGUACUUUCACUGCAGGGGGACACAGGUUCGAUCCCUGGUCGGGAAA